This 526-nucleotide ribosomal RNA is filed under the name uncultured bacterium. RNAcentral describes it as "bacterial SSU rRNA". It matches the Rfam family "Bacterial small subunit ribosomal RNA", at positions 412 to 929 of the family's 1533-position model. The record is from RNAcentral.
AGGCCUUUUGGUUGUAAAGCACUUUAAGCGAGGAGGAGGCUACCGAGAUUAAUACUCUAGGAUAGUGGACGUUACUCGCAGAAUAAGCACCGGCUAACUCUGUGCCAGCAGCCGCGGUAAUACAGAGGGUGCGAGCGUUAAUCGGAUUUACUGGGCGUAAAGCGUGCGUAGGCGGCUUCUUAAGUCGGAUGUGAAAUCCCUGAGCUUAACUUAGGAAUUGCAUUCGAUACUGGGAAGCUAGAGUAUGGGAGAGGAUGGUAGAAUUCCAGGUGUAGCGGUGAAAUGCGUAGAGAUCUGGAGGAAUACCGAUGGCGAAGGCAGCCAUCUGGCCUAAUACUGACGCUGAGGUACGAAAGCAUGGGGAGCAAACAGGAUUAGAUACCCUGGUAGUCCAUGCCGUAAACGAUGUCUACUAGCCGUUGGGGCCUUUGAGGCUUUAGUGGCGCAGCUAACGCGAUAAGUAGACCGCCUGGGGAGUACGGUCGCAAGACUAAAACUCAAAUGAAUUGACGGGGGCCCGCACAAG